Long non-coding RNA from Cynoglossus semilaevis (tongue sole), 130 nucleotides. RefSeq lists it as uncharacterized. The transcript has 3 exons. The record is from RefSeq and is a predicted model, not a curated record. NCBI's taxonomy places the organism in Eukaryota, Metazoa, Chordata, Actinopteri, Pleuronectiformes, Cynoglossidae.
UGAAGUCCUGCUCACUUUUGAGAGAGUGGAAGGUUCUCUGGAUGACUGGGACUUGGCGGUGCAGAAGACAGAGACUCGUCUCAACAGACUUAACGAACAGCGAGCUAAGGCGGCUGAGAAAGAAGCCAAC